UCGAGAUACGUUCGUAUUCAAUAGUCAAUGCUAGUUGCAGCUCAAUUAGGCUAUGCGUUUCGUGAUUGACAGUAUUUUUUAUUAAUAAAUUGUUCACAAAACCAUAAUGAAAAUUUUCUUCUUACAAAGAAAAAUGCUGCUUGAAAUUAUUUAAUAAAUUAUAUAAGGAAUCUUCAGUUUAUGUAAAUAUGUAUAAAAUAUAUUUUAUAAAUGAAGAAAAAAAAAUAUCUGAUAAUCUAAUAUCUAAGAUUUAGAUUAUUAGGUUAGGUUUUUCCGCAUAGUUGAACGAUAUCGCGAUUGUGGAAGCGUGAAUGGAUGAAUCAUAUCAUAAAAUUCUUAUAUUAUUAUAUAUAUUACAUAUAUUUAAAUAUAUGCAUAUAUAUUUAUUAAACAAUAUUUAAGAUUAAAAGAUUCAGCAAUAUAUUUAUACGCGAGUCAUAUAAUUGUGUGGGGAUUGAUAAAAUCAUAAGUUAAUCAUAGAAUGGAGAGCAAUAAUAAUAAUAAUGUAAAUACAAGUUUAUACAGACAAAGAAAAAUUUAAUGGUUUAUAAAAUAUGUUAUAAUGCUUAAAAUUGAUAUUAUUAUAAUAAUCCAUGUAACUUAAGACAAUUCAUGUUUUUUUCUAAUUAAAAAGAAAUAUUAGAAGAGAAAAUUUUGAAUUAUGAAGAAUUAAAGAAUUUAAAUUUUCAGAAUCAUAUUUUUAUUUUGAAACAUCUGUAUACAAAAAAAAAAUAUCUUUUUUUUCAUAGAUUCAUGUACGUAUUCGAAAUAAAUGUCUUAAAAAAACACAAAUAUUUUGUAUCGAUAUUUAAACACAUUACUAUUUUAAAUUCAAUCUUGUUACAUUAUUGUUUUCAUAACAAAGGCAGAUAUAUAUUCACAAACAUUUCAUCACUGACUAAUAACUUAUCAUACAAGAGUGUAAAAUGUAUAACAAUUGUAAAAGCUUUAAUGCAUAAAAUAUAUUUCUUGAAAUCAU
This is a long non-coding RNA of Apis cerana (Asiatic honeybee), 979 nucleotides long. RefSeq lists it as uncharacterized. Lineage: Eukaryota; Metazoa; Arthropoda; Insecta; Hymenoptera; Apidae. The record is from RefSeq and is a predicted model, not a curated record.